GUGGGGAAUAUUGGACAAUGGGCGAAAGCCUGAUCCAGCCAUGCCGCGUGUGUGAAGAAGGUCUUCGGAUUGUAAAGCACUUUAAGUUGGGAGGAAGGGCAGUAAGUUAAUACCUUGCUGUUUUGACGUUACCGACAGAAUAAGCACCGGCUAACUUCGUGCCAGCAGCCGCGGUAAUACGAAGGGUGCAAGCGUUAAUCGGAAUUACUGGGCGUAAAGCGCGCGUAGGUGGUUUUGUAAGUUGGAGGUGAAAUCCCCGGGCUCAACCUGGGAACUGCCUCCAGAACUGCAUGACUAGAGUACGGUAGAGGGUAGUGGAAUUUCCUGUGUAGCGGUGAAAUGCGUAGAUAUAGGAAGGAACACCAGUGGCGAAGGCGACUACCUGGACUGAUACUGACACUGAGGUGCGAAAGCGUGGGGAGCAAACAGGAUUAGAAACCCUAGUAGUCC
Molecule: ribosomal RNA, 450 nt
Filed under: uncultured bacterium
Lineage: Bacteria
Description: partial 16S ribosomal RNA
Rfam family: Bacterial small subunit ribosomal RNA
Source: RNAcentral